Gekko japonicus is the source of this 260-nucleotide long non-coding RNA. RefSeq lists it as uncharacterized. Lineage: Eukaryota; Metazoa; Chordata; Lepidosauria; Squamata; Gekkonidae. The transcript is spliced from 3 exons. The record is from RefSeq and is a predicted model, not a curated record.
GAAAGGGCGGAGGGGUUGGCGCGUGCGCAUAGGACGGCUAUUUUGGCGGGCGUUGCGCAGAAGCAGCGGCUGUGAGGGGGUACAACCCAGGGAGGGGGAGUUGGUGUCGUCGGGAGCCCGUUACUUUCUCCAGAGUCCUUGCAGAUAUUCCUUUUUGGAACAUUCUGGACCUUUACUCCUCCAACUGCAGAUGCAAGGAUAAUGCACCCAGCAUAGAACAAGAGCCCUACAGAGCAGCCCAAACAAAAACGGCACACAGA